AUCCCUGUAGCUCAGUUGGUAGAGCAUGGUGUUUGCAACGCCAGGGUUGUGGGUUUGAUUCCCACGGGGGGCC
Non-coding RNA from Salmo salar (Atlantic salmon), 73 nucleotides. The record is from Rfam. Lineage: Eukaryota; Metazoa; Chordata; Actinopteri; Salmoniformes; Salmonidae.